This 69-nucleotide transfer RNA is filed under the name Anadara pilula. RNAcentral's name for it is "tRNA-His". The record is from RNAcentral. Lineage: Eukaryota; Metazoa; Mollusca; Bivalvia; Arcoida; Arcidae.
AGGUAGGAUAGUAUAGGUGUGUACGUCGGUAUGUGGCUCCGAAAGCGCUGGGUUGAAAGCUCCUAUUUA